GAUUGAACGCUGGCGGCAGGCCUAACACAUGCAAGUCGAACGGUAACAGGAAGCAGCUUGCUGCUUCGCUGACGAGUGGCGGACGGGUGAGUAAUGUCUGGGAAACUGCCUGAUGGAGGGGGAUAACUACUGGAAACGGUAGCUAAUACCGCAUAAUGUCGCAAGACCAAAGAGGGGGACCUUCGGGCCUCUUGCCAUCGGAUGUGCCCAGAUGGGAUUAGCUAGUAGGUGGGGUAACGGCUCACCUAGGCGACGAUCCCUAGCUGGUCUGAGAGGAUGACCAGCCACACUGGAACUGAGACACGGUCCAGACUCCUACGGGAGGCAGCAGUGGGGAAUAUUGCACAAUGGGCGCAAGCCUGAUGCAGCCAUGCCGCGUGUAUGAAGAAGGCCUUCGGGUUGUAAAGUACUUUCAGCGGGGAGGAAGGCGAUAAGGUUAAUAACCUUGUCGAUUGACGUUACCCGCAGAAGAAGCACCGGCUAACUCCGUGCCAGCAGCCGCGGUAAUACGGAGGGUGCAAGCGUUAAUCGGAAUUACUGGGCGUAAAGCGCACGCAGGCGGUCUGUCAAGUCGGAUGUGAAAUCCCCGGGCUCAACCUGGGAACUGCAUUCGAAACUGGCAGGCUAGAGUCUUGUAGAGGGGGGUAGAAUUCCAGGUGUAGCGGUGAAAUGCGUAGAGAUCUGGAGGAAUACCGGUGGCGAAGGCGGCCCCCUGGACAAAGACUGACGCUCAGGUGCGAAAGCGUGGGGAGCAAACAGGAUUAGAUACCCCUGGUAGUCCACGCCGUAAACGAUGUCGACUUGGAGGUUGUGCCCUUGAGGCGUGGCUUCCGGAGCUAACGCGUUAAGUCGACCGCCUGGGGAGUACGGCCGCAAGGUUAAAACUCAAAUGAAUUGACGGGGGCCCGCACAAGCGGUGGAGCAUGUGGUUUAAUUCGAUGCAACGCGAAGAACCUUACCUACUCUUGACAUCCAGAGAACUUAGCAGAGAUGCUUUGGUGCCUUCGGGAACUCUGAGACAGGUGCUGCAUGGCUGUCGUCAGCUCGUGUUGUGAAAUGUUGGGUUAAGUCCCGCAACGAGCGCAACCCUUAUCCUUUGUUGCCAGCGGUCCGGCCGGGAACUCAAAGGAGACUGCCAGUGAUAAACUGGAGGAAGGUGGGGAUGACGUCAAGUCAUCAUGGCCCUUACGAGUAGGGCUACACACGUGCUACAAUGGCGCAUACAAAGAGAAGCGACCUCGCGAGAGCAAGCGGACCUCAUAAAGUGCGUCGUAGUCCGGAUUGGAGUCUGCAACUCGACUCCAUGAAGUCGGAAUCGCUAGUAAUCGUGGAUCAGAAUGCCACGGUGAAUACGUUCCCGGGCCUUGUACACACCGCC
RNAcentral lists this ribosomal RNA (1378 nucleotides) under uncultured bacterium. RNAcentral describes it as "bacterial SSU rRNA". It matches the Rfam family "Bacterial small subunit ribosomal RNA", at positions 27 to 1394 of the family's 1533-position model. The record is from RNAcentral.